GCGCAGGCGCCGUGUGUCCAGGCGCCGGGCGUCCGCGUCGGCGAUCAGGGGUCUGGGCGCGGCGAGAUCUGGUGUGGCAGAUGUGGAUAGCUGGACCCUCCUGGGUGCCUCUGCGUUAUGUCGUUUGGUUGAUGCAUUUGGAGAGAAUCUGUGCUCUCCACACCUGCAGGGGCAACAUGCUUUCCUGGCCUCUUCAGAUCAGGGUGGCUGUUCUUGGGUGCUGCACCAAAACUCCAGCAGUGGGCUUUCUUCAAGGUGAGCUGCAAGAUGGAAUCUGAGGCCCACCCGUCAGUAAGAGUUUCCUCCUGGUAUCCAUGGAAUCUACUGGUCUGUCUCACUUUGGCCUUUGACCCAGGCAGGGGUUCCUAACAUCUACAUCGGUCAUUCGGACAGCCUUGGUUUUGGUUCACUGCCUUACACGGGGCUUCCAGAUGUUGACCUGCUUCAUUUUACAGUAUCAGGAAAUCACUUUCCCCUCAGAAAUGGCCGGCUCACCUCAUUCCUGCCAAGACCCAGGUCCGUGUUCUCACAGCGCUGCCAUCUUUCCUCCGUGUGAGCGUGUGCUGUGCGGAGAGUGGACCUCGGUGUGUGCGGGGCUGCGUGCACUGCCAUCGGCUCCCUCUACACGAGCCGCCGUGGACCCAGGGCUGAGCUGUGACCACGAGGGCCAUCCCGACGAGCCGCCGUGGACCCAGGGCUGAGCUGUGACCACGAGGGCUAUCCCGACGAGCCGCCAUGGACCCAGGGCUGAGCCGUGACCAUGAGGGCCAUCCCGAAACUGUGAUUAUGAAGAAACCAAGGCUUUGUGACUAACUCAACCCCUCAAGAAG
RNAcentral lists this non-coding RNA (830 nucleotides) under Pan troglodytes (chimpanzee). The record is from RNAcentral. Lineage: Eukaryota; Metazoa; Chordata; Mammalia; Primates; Hominidae.